Molecule: ribosomal RNA, 253 nt
Filed under: uncultured bacterium
Lineage: Bacteria
Description: partial 16S ribosomal RNA
Rfam family: Bacterial small subunit ribosomal RNA
Source: RNAcentral
UACGUAGGGACCGAGCGUUGUCCGGAUUCAUUGGGCGUAAAGAGCUCGUAGGCGGCUGCUCAAGUCGAAUGUGAAAACUCGAGGCUCAACCUCGAGCCUGCAUUCGAUACUGGGCGACUAGAGUGCGGAAGGGGCAACUGGAAUUCUCGGUGUAGCGGUGAAAUGCGUAGAUAUCGAGAGGAACACCUGCGGCGAAGGCGGGUUGCUGGGCCGACACUGACGCUGAUGCGCGAAAGCCAGGGGAGCGAACGGG